GGGGAUGUGGCUCAAGCGGUAGCGUGCUCACCUGGCAUGUGCGGGGUGCUGGGUUCUAUCCUCAGCACCACA
RNAcentral lists this transfer RNA (72 nucleotides) under Marmota monax (woodchuck). Its description in RNAcentral is "tRNA.Ala". Lineage: Eukaryota; Metazoa; Chordata; Mammalia; Rodentia; Sciuridae. The record is from RNAcentral.